This 881-nucleotide ribosomal RNA is filed under the name Actinomycetes bacterium. Its description in RNAcentral is "bacterial SSU rRNA". It matches the Rfam family "Bacterial small subunit ribosomal RNA", at positions 73 to 963 of the family's 1533-position model. Lineage: Bacteria; Bacillati; Actinomycetota; Actinomycetes. The record is from RNAcentral.
GCCCAGCUUGCUGGGUGGAUUAGUGGCGAACGGGUGAGUAACACGUGGGUGAUCUGCCCUGCACUCUGGGAUAAGCCUGGGAAACUGGGUCUAAUACCGGAUAGGACCUUCGGCCGCAUGGCUGGGGGUGGAAAGUUUUUCGGUGCAGGAUGAGCCCGCGGCCUAUCAGCUUGUUGGUGGGGUAAUGGCCUACCAAGGCGACGACGGGUAGCCGGCCUGAGAGGGCGACCGGCCACACUGGGACUGAGACACGGCCCAGACUCCUACGGGAGGCAGCAGUGGGGAAUAUUGCACAAUGGGCGCAAGCCUGAUGCAGCGACGCCGCGUGAGGGAUGACGGCCUUCGGGUUGUAAACCUCUUUCACCCAUGACGAAGCGCAAGUGACGGUAGUGGGAGAAGAAGCACCGGCCAACUACGUGCCAGCAGCCGCGGUAAUACGUAGGGUGCGAGCGUUGUCCGGAAUUACUGGGCGUAAAGAGCUCGUAGGCGGUUUGUCGCGUCGUCUGUGAAAACCCGCAGCUCAACUGCGGGCUUGCAGGCGAUACGGGCAGACUCGAGUACUGCAGGGGAGACUGGAAUUCCUGGUGUAGCGGUGAAAUGCGCAGAUAUCAGGAGGAACACCGGUGGCGAAGGCGGGUCUCUGGGCAGUAACUGACGCUGAGGAGCGAAAGCGUGGGUAGCGAACAGGAUUAGAUACCCUGGUAGUCCACGCCGUAAACGGUGGGCGCUAGGUGUGGGUUUCCUUCCACGGGAUCCGUGCCGUAGCCAACGCAUUAAGCGCCCCGCCUGGGGAGUACGGCCGCAAGGCUAAAACUCAAAGGGAAUUGACGGGGGGCCCGCACAAGCGGCGGGAGCAUGUGGGAUUAAUUCGAUGCAACGCG